Molecule: transfer RNA, 68 nt
Filed under: Eocanthecona thomsoni
Lineage: Eukaryota; Metazoa; Arthropoda; Insecta; Hemiptera; Pentatomidae
Also listed under: 1 other name
Description: tRNA-Glu
Rfam family: tRNA
About the family: Transfer RNA (tRNA) molecules are approximately 80 nucleotides in length. Their secondary structure includes four short double-helical elements and three loops (D, anti-codon, and T loops). Further hydrogen bonds mediate the characteristic L-shaped molecular structure. tRNAs have two regions of fundamental functional importance: the anti-codon, which is responsible for specific mRNA codon recognition, and the 3' end, to which the tRNAs corresponding amino acid is attached (by aminoacyl-tRNA synthetases). tRNAs cope with the degeneracy of the genetic code in two manners: having more than one tRNA (with a specific anti-codon) for a particular amino acid; and 'wobble' base-pairing, i.e. permitting non-standard base-pairing at the 3rd anti-codon position.
Source: RNAcentral
AUUUGUAUAGUUUAAAGUAAAACACCUCAUUUUCAAUGAGAAAAUAAGAAUUAAAUUCUUUAUAAAUA